AUGAACGCUGGCGGCGUGCCUCAUACAUGCCAGUCGAGCGCACAGACGAGGAGCUUGCUCCUCUGACGUUAGCGGCGGACGGGUGAGUAACACGUGGAUAACCUACCUAUAAGACUGGGAUAACUUCGGGAAACCGGAGCUAAUACCGGAUAAUAUAUUGAACCGCAUGGUUCCAUAGUGAAAGACGGUUUUGCUGUCACUUAUAGAUGGAUCCGCGCCGCAUUAGCUAGUUGGUAAGGUAACGGCCUACCAAGGCAACGAUGCGUAGCCGACCUGAGAGGGUGAUCGGCCACACUGGAACUGAGACACGGUCCAGACUCCUACGGGAGGCAGCAGUAGGGAAUCUUCCGCAAUGGGCGAAAGCCUGACGGAGAAACGCCGCGUGAGUGAUGAAGGUCUUCGGAUCGUAAAACUCUGUUAUUAGGGAAGAACAAAUGUGUAAGUAACUAUGCACGUCUUGACGGUACCUAAUCAGAAAGCAACGGCUAACUACGUG
Molecule: ribosomal RNA, 496 nt
Filed under: uncultured bacterium
Lineage: Bacteria
Description: partial 16S ribosomal RNA
Rfam family: Bacterial small subunit ribosomal RNA
Source: RNAcentral